GGACGAACGCUGGCGGCGUGCUUAACACAUGCAAGUCGAACGGAAAGGCCCUGCUUUUGUGGGGUGCUCGAGUGGCGAACGGGUGAGUAACACGUGAGUAACCUGCCCUUGACUUUGGGAUAACUUCAGGAAACUGGGGCUAAUACCGGAUAGGAGCUCCUGCUGCAUGGUGGGGGUUGGAAAGUUUCGGCGGUUGGGGAUGGACUCGCGGCUUAUCAGCUUGUUGGUGGGGUAGUGGCUUACCAAGGCUUUGACGGGUAGCCGGCCUGAGAGGGUGACCGGCCACAUUGGGACUGAGAUACGGCCCAGACUCCUACGGGAGGCAGCAGUGGGGAAUAUUGCACAAUGGGCGGAAGCCUGAUGCAGCAACGCCGCGUGCGGGAUGACGGCCUUCAGGUUGUAAACCGCUUUCGCCUGUGACGAAGCGUGAGUGACGGUAAUGGGUAAAGAAGCACCGGCUAACUACGUG
RNAcentral lists this ribosomal RNA (469 nucleotides) under uncultured bacterium. RNAcentral describes it as "partial 16S ribosomal RNA". It matches the Rfam family "Bacterial small subunit ribosomal RNA", at positions 27 to 507 of the family's 1533-position model. The record is from RNAcentral.